Molecule: long non-coding RNA, 1281 nt
Organism: Equus quagga
Lineage: Eukaryota; Metazoa; Chordata; Mammalia; Perissodactyla; Equidae
Exons: 3
Source: RefSeq, a predicted model, not a curated record
AGGCAAGUGUCAGACAGCAUUAACCCCACUGCACCUCCCAGGCUGGGAUCAUCUCCUGCCCUGGAGCCAAGCCGUCGGAGCCGCCAGCACGCAAGAGCAGUAGCAGCGGCGGCGGCGGCAACUUCGGGACUGGCAAGAAGCCAGGGCGGGGGUGGUCGGCGUCCCCCGGCCUCUCAUUAGAGCGCUUAAGUACUGCGAGUGGAGAAAAGUAAACACCGGCAAGUGCAGCUGUGUCGGGGGAGGGUGGAUAUUAUCCCCCCUCCCACCGCCCCUUUGGCUCUGCCUCCCAGAGAGCCCCGAGAGGUCCCGGCUGCCGCUGCCCGGACAGCGCGCUCGGGGCUGCAGAGCCAGAGGAGCUGAGAAAGGAGCAGACGGGCGGCGCGCAGUCUGGAGAGAGAGAACGGAAAGGAACACAGCUAAUGUUGGGCAAUUUGCAGGUGCAUUCAUGCUUUUGACCAAACAGAAUGCCAUUUGAUGCUGACAUAUCAUUGGCUGCUGCUCUGGGGUUGGGUACCUACCACACAGCAUGGAGAACCUCUCACUCUCUUCUCCCAAGUCAGCUCACCACCCAGUACCUCCAGCUUGUUUUUCCAGAUUGUUAAAGUUUAUUGAAAUGGUCAAAAAGGCAAACAUUUGAUUGUAUUUGCUACUACAUUAUGCCACGUGAAUAACAUUUUAAAAUAAAAGACAAAUAAUAUCUAAAUCAUUACUAGAAAAACAAAUAGUCAAUUUAAGGCACCUUAGGUGAAAGCUAAUUUCAAAAAUAUAUACAAAAGUAACAUUGUUUUAAAUGUAACAAGUCUCCCCUCCACAGACUUUGGCCAAAAUUUUGCUUUCCUCCUCAUAGAAGAAAUGGGUGUUAAAGAUGUAGGAGACAAAUUGAGCGUAAAGACUUUCAAUCUUAUUUUAGGGUAAAUUACUUUAAGGUAUGCCGAUUAAAUGGAAUCAGUAUUUCCCUGGUCAGACUGCUACAAAUCAGAUCAUCUUAAUACAAGUCUGAACCAUAGGAAUCAUAGCAUAGAUGUAUUUUCUCUGAGACAAGUGCAAGAAUAGAAGAAAAGAUGAUGAGAAGGCAUCCAGAUCUAUCACUUCAGCCUUAUGUGGUGUGUCCACAUGUUUGGAUUGCAGACAAAGGUCUGUGGAUGCCCUUCCUUGGUAUUUGUUGACUGAAUUUCACAACAGAAAGUGGGGCAUGACAUACAGCCGAAUGAUUUUCCCUGUUUAAGCAUUUAAGUUAAGCAAUAAGCUAUUCACUAGUAAGUUAGAAAGGUCAAAGCAAGC